GACGAACGCUGGCGGCGUGCUUAACACAUGCAAGUCGAACGGAGCGGCGAACGGGCGAGUAACGCGUGAGUAACUGCCCCCCUCCCUGGGAUAACAGUUGGAUACGGCUGCUAAUACCGGAUAGUGGGGGAUGACUCGCGUCAUAUCAGAUUGUUGGGGGGGUAGUGGCCUACCAAGGCGACGACGGGUAGCCGGCCUGAGAGGGGGACCGGCCACAGAGGGUUGGGGUACGAGCCAAACGCCUACGGGAGCAAGGAGUGGGGAAUAUAGCACAAUGGGGGAAACCCAGGUGCAGCGCCGCCGCGUGGGGGAUGACGGCCGUCGGGUUGUAACCGCUUUCAGCCAUGACGCGGUAGUGGCAGAAGAAGCACCGGCUAACUACGUGCCAGCAGCCGCGGUAAUUC
This 404-nucleotide ribosomal RNA is filed under the name uncultured bacterium. Its description in RNAcentral is "partial 16S ribosomal RNA". It matches the Rfam family "Bacterial small subunit ribosomal RNA", at positions 28 to 526 of the family's 1533-position model. The record is from RNAcentral.